This 553-nucleotide long non-coding RNA is filed under the name Neogobius melanostomus (round goby). RNAcentral's name for it is "lncRNA (ENSNMLG00000019687.1)". Lineage: Eukaryota; Metazoa; Chordata; Actinopteri; Gobiiformes; Gobiidae. The record is from RNAcentral.
AUGCUGUUCCUGCACUGCUCCAUGUCUGUGGGCCUCCAGCCGUCGCCGUCCUCCAAGAGCUGCACCUACGACAAGGCGACGGGCAGGUGGCUGGAGCUGGAGGCCUCCCCGUCCGUGUGCUCCUGCUGUGAGAGCGUCUGUGUGGACUCCGGCCGCGCCGACAGCACCACAGUGAGCAGCGCAGCCUGGAACAUGGCACAGCUCCCACACCAACGGCACCAUGAUGUGUCUCUGAGGAGAGGACAACAAGGCCUGACAGAGGAGCUACUGCACCAUGAUGACGUGUCUCUGAAGAGAGGACAACAAGGCCUGACAGGGGAGCUUCUGCACCAUGAUGACGUCGGUCUCUUGAAGAGAGGAGGAGGAACUAGGGCUGAACAGGGCGAGCUACUGCACCAUUUGAUGACGUGUUCUCUGGAAGAGAGUAGAACAAUAGGCGUGACAGGAGGCUUCUGCACCAUGAUGACGUGUCUCUGAAGAGGGGAGAACUAAGGCCUGACAGGAGCUUACUGCACCAUGAUGACAUGUCUUCGAAGAGGAAGGACAACAAGGC